GGCUCAGAUUGAACGCUGGCGGCAUGCCUUACACAUGCAAGUCGAACGGCAGCGGACCUUCGGGUGCCGGCGAGUGGCGAACGGGUGAGUAAUAUAUCGGAACGUACCUUUCAGUGGGGGAUAACGUAGCGAAAGUUACGCUAAUACCGCAUAUUCUGUGAGCAGGAAAGCAGGGGGAUCGCAAGACCUUGCGCUGAUUGAGCGGCCGAUAUCAGAUUAGCUAGUUGGUGAGGUAAAGGCUCACCAAGGCGACGAUCUGUAGCGGGUCUGAGAGGAUGAUCCGCCACACUGGAACUGAGACACGGUCCAGACUCCUACGGGAGGCAGCAGUGGGGAAUUUUGGACAAUGGGCGCAAGCCUGAUCCAGCCAUGCCGCGUGAGUGAAGAAGGCCUUCGGGUUGUAAAGCUCUUUCGGCCGGGAAGAAAUCGCACAGGUUAAUACCCUGUGUGGAUGACGGUACCGGAAUAAGAAGCACCGGCUAACUACGUG
Molecule: ribosomal RNA, 490 nt
Filed under: uncultured bacterium
Lineage: Bacteria
Description: bacterial SSU rRNA
Rfam family: Bacterial small subunit ribosomal RNA
Source: RNAcentral